AGUUGCUGGUAAAUAAAAAAACUAUUUUAUUUGGACUUGGAGACAAACAAAUAAACAAACAACAGAAGAUGGAGUUGAGUAGGCAGUUGUAUAGGCAACAGUACAAACUAAAGAGAGGCAUGAUAUAUGCACACAAAAAAUAGAGUAUUUAGAUAAAUCAAUCAAAUGGCUCUUUUCUAGUCACAAUUAAACAAUAUCUAACUCUGCAGUAAUAAAAACAUAUAAAUAAUCCAACAAAUAAUUUGAAAUAGGC
This 253-nucleotide long non-coding RNA is filed under the name Sorghum bicolor (sorghum). RNAcentral describes it as "long non-coding RNA (SBIC_LNC014953)". The record is from RNAcentral. Lineage: Eukaryota; Viridiplantae; Streptophyta; Magnoliopsida; Poales; Poaceae.